UACUUUUGCCGUGGUCUGAGGCGCUCAUUCCGCGCUGGGAGUCGCCGAGGCCGCCACUGUUUUUGUGGCCGCCGCCUAGUGUCUUCGCGCUCCUCCCUUUCCUCCUCCUCUUUCUCCUCCUCCUUCGAGUCUCAGUCAGGGCGACCUGCACAGCUCGCGCGCAGAAAACUAAGACCUAACUUGCUGUCUUCUCUUGAGUCAUAUGGUGACUCUGCAACUUGAUGGAUGACGACAACGACAACCCUUCUCAAUCAAAAAUUUCUUCAGGUGAGAAAUGUCUCAUCUUUCCUGAGAUGGAACAAACCUCACAUAAUUCAAAAAUGGCAGAACUCUUUAUGGAAUGUGAAGAAGAAGAGCUGGAACCAUGGCAGAAGAAAGUUGAAGAAAUUCUGGAUGAAGAUGAUGAUGAGCUGAUCUUUGUUGGAGAGAUAUCAAGUUCAAAACCAGCCAUUUCAAAUAUUUUGAACAGAGGUAACCCCAGCUCAUCUUCAAAGGGAAUAAAGAAUGAGACACUCACUCAAGGUGCUACUGAUCCAUUCAAGCCUGCAAGUCAACACUACAAAGAUCCAACAUCAAAUCCAGUGGCUGCCUUGCCUAGAUGUCAUCCUGAAUCUAAAUCUUCACAAAACUCUAUUGUUCAGAAUGUGUCUAAACCUGAUUUUACAAAGAAUUCGUCGCAAGUUGAAUCGGAUGAUUCUUCAGAUUUACUGUUUGACUUGACCCAGGAUACAAUUCCAUUGUCUCAAGAGGGAUCAACAGUUUAUAUAGAAGGUAUAGAUCAGACUCUACCUAUAUUAAAACGUUCUUCUGCUUCUAAAGUAAACAGUGUUACUCCAAAAAAGCCAAAGACCAACGAAAGUGUUUCUGAAAUAAGUCCUUGUGCUUCAUUGUCUUUAACUAACUCUCCUCCAGCGACAUCUUCCCAUGUUAUGAUAUCAAAAGGUACAAAUACCUCAUCAUCUCCCCAUAAAACUGGAACACCUUUUCUAAGAUCUUGUCCAAAGUGCAAUGUGAAAUUUAAUCUUCUGGAUCCUUUGAAAUAUCACAUGAAGCGUUGUUGUCCAGACAUGGUAAAUAAAUUUUUGGAAAUGAUUAAAGCAGAACUUGCAAUUACUGAAAAUAAAAAUAAGACUGGUGCAGAGAAAGGAAAAUUAAUUAUGUUAGUUAGUGACUUUUACUAUGGAAGACAUGAAGGAGCUGUUGAUGAUGAACAGAAGACUUACACAACCUUUAAAUGCUUCAGUUGCUUGAAAGUUCUUAAAAACAACAUUAGGUUCAUGAACCACAUGAAGCACCAUUUGGAACUUGAGAAGCAGAACAGUGAGAGCUGGGAAAAUCAUACCACCUGCCAGCACUGCUACCGUCAAUAUCCUACACCAUUCCAGUUGCAGUGUCACAUUGAGAGUACUCACACUCCCCAUGAGUUUUCUACUAUUUGUAAAAUCUGUGAAUUAUCAUUUGAAACGGAACAUGCUCUUUUGCAACAUAUGAAGGAUACUCAUAAACCCGGUGAAAUGCCAUAUAUUUGCCAGGUGUGCCAGUUUAGAUCAUCAACAUUUUCUGAUGUAGAAAGUCAUUUUAGAUCAACCCAUGAAAACACUAAGAAUUUGCUAUGUCCAUUUUGCCUCAAAGUUAGUAGAAUGGCAACUCCCUACAUGAAUCAUUACAUGAAGCAUCAGAAAAAAGGAGUUCAUCGUUGUACCAAAUGCCGACUACAAUUUUUGACCUGCAAAGAGAAACUGGAUCAUAAGACCCAACAUCGGACAUUUAUAAAGCCUAAAGAGCUAGAAGGACUGCCUCCUGGUACAAAAGUUACUAUUCGAGCUUCAAUUGGACCUCUUCAUUCAAAACCAGUUACUUCAUCUCCCAGUAGUAGCGUUCCAAGCACCUCUUCUUUUCAGCUCUCACCUCCAAAGUCUAAAAGUACAACUGCUAAAAAUGCGACCAAAUCAAAUACAAGUAAAUCUAAGACAAGUAAGCCUCAUGCAACUACAUCCACUACAAGUAAACCUAAUGCCAAUAAGCGAGGUAGAGGUGCAUCUAAAUGCAAGACAAAAACCACUUACAAGCAAAAGAAACAACGCAACAGAAAGAAUAAAAUCAGCAUAGCUUUGAAGAACUUAAGGUGUCGUCGGGGAGUUCACAAGUGCAUUGAGUGUCAUUCCAAAAUAAAAGAUUUUGCAAGCCACUUUUCAAUAUAUAUCCACUGUAAUUUUUGCAAAUAUAACACUAACUGUAACAAAGCCUUUAUAAAUCAUAUGGUGAGCUCUCAUAGCAACCAUCCAACUAGACGGUUUUAUAUUUUUAAGAAGCAUUCUGGAACUCUCAGGGGCAUUACUCUGGUGUGCCUUAAAUGUGACUUCCUAGCUGAUUCUUCCAGUUUAGACCGUAUGGCUAAACACUUAUGUCAACGUAAAACUCAUACUUGCCAAGUUAUAAUAGAGCAUGUUCCUGAAAGUACCUCAACUUCUGAAUCCACUUCUGAGUGCUGGAAAAGCAGACUGAAAUCUCUUCCCUGGUGGAGCUUACAUUUCAGUGGUGGAAGACAAGACGAUAAAAAAAUAAGAAAAUUAAGUAGUAUGUUAGAUGAUGAUCAAUGCUAUGGAGAAAAAUAAAGUGGGCAAGGAGGAUGUUUCAGGUGUCUAAGUGCCCAGACUUGGACCAGGAUUAGCUCCUUCUGUACGGGCUUCCAACCCAGGAAAUGGUGAAGACUCAAGGGCAUAGUCCGAAAAGUGAAGAGGAGCUGUAGAGGAGACAUACUGGCCAUCUCGGAUCACUCCAGACACAUAGUGAGGCUGAAUGAGAGGCCUGGAGGCACCUCACUUCACUUUAUAUUCCCUGCUCCUCACCACCCUCACAGCAACAAGAGUAUCAUGGUUCUCUGGCCUCCUGAGUCCCCUUCCUCUGGUUGCAUUCUGGGAACAGCCCAUUCCCAAAUCCUUUUGCUCAAUCUGAUGGAGGGCUGAGUGCCACUGUGCCACCCUGCUGAUGCCAGCAGAAAGUUCUAGGGCUGGGAGAGUGGGACCCAGAAAUUCUCAGGAUUCCAAGACUUCUUGACUAUUCCCAGGCACCUGAGGGAAAGCAGUGUUAUUACUGCAGGAAAGGACAGGAUCACAAAGGUGAGGCUCAGAGGACUGGUGAGUGCCUGCUAGUCACAGCAAAAUUACCAGAGUCUUGGCAGGACCAAAAGAUGACAGACUUGGGGAAGUUGAGAGUCUGGUUUUUAAGAUGGGGACCAGCUAGCAUGGAAAUGACAGCCAUGAGGUCCACACUCAGGAAUCAUCCAGGAAGACUGUUUGUUCCUCUCAGAGGAGCUAUGAAAAGUAGAAGAGUUUUCCCUCUUGCUGGUCAGCAAGCUUGCUGAAUCUUUCCAAAGGUUACUGAGUCUAGAUGAUGCUAAAACCUUCUUCUGGCUUCCCACUGUGCUUAAAUAAAAUCCCAACCCAAAAGGCCUGGCCUUACCUACUUCUCAGCCUCACCCCGUUAUUUUCCUCCUUGCUCUCACUAGCCUCCUCUCUGUUCUUCAGAUGCACUGACCUCACUUACAUCUCAGGGCCUUGGCAUUUGCUGUUUCCUCUGUUUGUGGUCCUUUCUGACCUCAUCCCUGGUUGCUCUUCUUCAUUCAGGUCUCCACUCAAACGUUAUCUCCUCAGGGGAACCUUCUGUGUUCACUUUAUCUAAUAUGUUGCCCUCCCCCACCUCCCUCACUUUCUAUCCAUUUACCCUGUUUUAUGGCCCUCAGAGUCCUUAUUACUCUCAAAUUCUCUCAUUAUGCAUCUCGUUUCUUGUUUAAUGUCUAUCUCCUUUAUGAGAGCAGUAUUUUAUAUUGUUCACCUGCAUAUCCCCAGGACUUAGCACAGUGGCUCCUAGUAGAUGCUCAGUAAAUGUUUGUUGAAUGCCUAAAAGGUAUCAGAGGCAAUUUGGGUCUAGAAGAGGCAAUCCUGAUUAGAAGACCUGGAAUGUUGUUCUCUUGACCUUGUUACAGCAGAGAAGUUUCCUGACCAAGACCAGAACUUGGACUGAAAUGUACCCAUUAGAAUGGACCAGUGUACCUGCGGCCACUGUGAGAUGGCCUAGCCCUGCAGCCAGGUCAAGAGCCAAAAGACACCACAACAGCAGGUCCUGUCCUGGGUAAGGAGUCAGCAUGAAGUCUGAGACAAGGCCCAAGGUUUUUCUGUUGGGAAGAAGCAUAGCAGCAGGGGUUUCAGCAGGCAGCUCACCAUCAGACAACAGGUGCCCAGGCCCUCAGGUGAGAUUCAGGGGCGGAGCAUUGGUGGGGACAACCAGUAAGAAAACAUAGCCCUAACUGAGAUAGUAGUCAGGCUCCAAAGACAGAUCCAGGCAGAAGCCAAGUAAUGAAAACCAGACUGGGGGCUGGGACUUGGCCUGAAGUCAAGUGAAGGGUAGGAUGGGGAGGUGAUGGGGAGUUAGCCAGUUCUGGAUGAAGAGGGUUGUAGGGACAACUAGGCAGGACCAGUCAGGCUACUUGUUUGGGUGGGAAGUGCAUCUGCUAUGUAUUAUCUCUCGCUGGGGUGGCGGGGAGGACAGGGGACAUUCACUUACCAGAGGAAGGUGCUCAGGGCUGUCUGCCUGGGACCCUCUUUCCCUGGGCUCCUGACAGGAGAACUGCCUUAAGGAGCACCCCGAAACAAAUCUAUCUGGGGCUAUUGUAGCUACGUCUUUAUAGCCGCUCUUAGUGACUUUAACAAUCAGACAGGGGGCUUUCACAUCCAUAGGAACAGACAUUUAAAAAAUACCUGCAGGACUCCUGCUGGAGAGCCACCAGAAACUCCCACUGACUCAAAGAGCAACAAACCAUCCAGCCUCUUGUGUCAGCAUCCCCAACCUCAGCUCCCCACUAGGGCUGCUCAGCUCUAGUCCUUUCACUCAACUCCCAAGGUCAUUCCAGCCUCCCUACUUGGCCCAUUCCCCUCACUUUACCAAUCCAAAUGUAACAUUUUAUUCAACACACAAAAUAAAGUCAGUUAUUUUUCA
Canis lupus familiaris (dog) is the source of this 4995-nucleotide RNA transcript. It is a transcript of the gene named zinc finger protein 280C, with no coding region annotated. NCBI's taxonomy places the organism in Eukaryota, Metazoa, Chordata, Mammalia, Carnivora, Canidae. The record is from RefSeq and is a predicted model, not a curated record. The transcript has 23 exons.